This 72-nucleotide transfer RNA is filed under the name Nitrososphaerota archaeon. RNAcentral's name for it is "tRNA-Val". It matches the Rfam family "tRNA". Rfam says of the family: Transfer RNA (tRNA) molecules are approximately 80 nucleotides in length. Their secondary structure includes four short double-helical elements and three loops (D, anti-codon, and T loops). Further hydrogen bonds mediate the characteristic L-shaped molecular structure. tRNAs have two regions of fundamental functional importance: the anti-codon, which is responsible for specific mRNA codon recognition, and the 3' end, to which the tRNAs corresponding amino acid is attached (by aminoacyl-tRNA synthetases). tRNAs cope with the degeneracy of the genetic code in two manners: having more than one tRNA (with a specific anti-codon) for a particular amino acid; and 'wobble' base-pairing, i.e. permitting non-standard base-pairing at the 3rd anti-codon position. RNAcentral also lists the same sequence under 2 other names. Lineage: Archaea; Thermoproteati; Nitrososphaerota. The record is from RNAcentral.
GGGGCCGUGGUCUAGUGGCAUGACGCCGCCCUUACACGGCGGAGGUCGUGGGUUCGAUUCCCACCGGCCCCA